RNAcentral lists this ribosomal RNA (295 nucleotides) under uncultured bacterium. RNAcentral's name for it is "partial 16S ribosomal RNA". It matches the Rfam family "Bacterial small subunit ribosomal RNA", at positions 335 to 628 of the family's 1533-position model. The record is from RNAcentral.
UUGCCUACGGGACGCAGCAGUGAGGAAUAUUGGUCAAUGGGCGGGAGCCUGAACCAGCCAAGUCGCGUGAAGGAAGAAGGUACUUAGUAUUGUAAACUUCUUUUGUCGGGGAACAAAGGCGGAGACGCGUCUCCGGAUGAGUGUACCCGAAGAAAAAGCAUCGGCUAACUCCGUGCCAGCAGCCGCGGUAAUACGGAGGAUGCGAGCGUUAUCCGGAUUUAUUGGGUUUAACGGGAGCGCAGGCGGCGCGUUAAGUCAGCGGUAAAAUCGCGGGGCUCAACCUCGCUCCGCCGUU